This 156-nucleotide ribosomal RNA is filed under the name Pratylenchus hippeastri. RNAcentral describes it as "5.8S ribosomal RNA". Lineage: Eukaryota; Metazoa; Nematoda; Chromadorea; Rhabditida; Pratylenchidae. The record is from RNAcentral.
AGCUGCGUUCUUCAUCGACCUACGAGCCGAGUGAUCCACCGAUAAGACUAGAAUUUUUCGUUUGUUUGCUUUCAUAGCAUAAAAAAAAUGUGGAAAAAAAGGUUUUGCUGGCGUCCCCACACUGAAUGGGCUCAUUAAGUCUUAAGCCAUACACGA